Molecule: non-coding RNA, 868 nt
Organism: Caretta caretta (loggerhead turtle)
Lineage: Eukaryota; Metazoa; Chordata; Testudines; Cheloniidae
Source: RefSeq, a predicted model, not a curated record
ACACUCCGCACUCACUACUCAGAGGGAGGGAGGCAGGGAGGGAGGGAGGUUACACAGGCUGACUGAACUGAGGAGCUCAGCUGCCAACACUCAACACUGCCUGCUGCUGCUGCUGCUGCUGUACUCUGGGCAAGGGGAGGGAGGGAGAAAGAAAAGGAGAAGAAGAAAAUAAAGAAGGAGAGAGAGCAGAUAAGUAGAGGGGGGAAAUCUGAGAAAGAAGGAAAAGCAAAGGACACCUCCCUCCCUACAGAGAGAAGACUUCCCAUGUAGCAGGGGAACGAGGGAGAAGCCUGAAGCUCAGCAACUGAGAGAGAAACAAGUUACUUAAUCCCUGGAGAGAGGAGGGACAUUAAUAAUAACAACAGUUGCUGAUGAUAAUAAUCAUACAUAACCGCUAAUAAUUUAAACCCAAAGAAAGUUCAAUGCAAUAUUCGAAGCUAUUUCUGGUUGCCUCUUCGGGGUAACUUUGGAAGGCGCGCUGCUGCUGUUGUCGCCUGGAGGUGAGAGAGGAGCCUCGGAAGAAGGAAGAAGUUUCGUGGGGCUUGUUUGCACAGGAGGAGAAGAUGGGCUGGAAGAGUCGCUGCUGCUGGGGAGGCGGAGGAGGAGGGGACCGUCUCUGCCUGCUCACCCUCUUGCUGGGGUUCCUGCUACCCGCCUGCAGGACUCGAAUGUACACCAACCACUGGGCUGUGAGGAUAACUGGGGGGCACCAGGAAGCCAGCAGGAUAGCUAGCAAAUACGGAUACGUCAAUAUAGGACAGAUUGGAGCACUGAAGGAUUACUACCACUUCUAUCAUAGUAAAACAAUUAAAAGGUCAGUUCUCUCAAGUAGAGGUACCCACAGCUUCAUUUCAAUGGAACCAAAGGU